Molecule: ribosomal RNA, 720 nt
Filed under: Bacillus subtilis
Lineage: Bacteria; Bacillati; Bacillota; Bacilli; Caryophanales; Bacillaceae
Description: bacterial SSU rRNA
Rfam family: Bacterial small subunit ribosomal RNA
Source: RNAcentral
GGGCUCGCAGGCGGUUUCUUAAGUCUGAUGUGAAAGCCCCCGGCUCAACCGGGGAGGGUCAUUGGAAACUGGGGAACUUGAGUGCAGAAGAGGAGAGUGGAAUUCCACGUGUAGCGGUGAAAUGCGUAGAGAUGUGGAGGAACACCAGUGGCGAAGGCGACUCUCUGGUCUGUAACUGACGCUGAGGAGCGAAAGCGUGGGGAGCGAACAGGAUUAGAUACCCUGGUAGUCCACGCCGUAAACGAUGAGUGCUAAGUGUUAGGGGGUUUCCGCCCCUUAGUGCUGCAGCUAACGCAUUAAGCACUCCGCCUGGGGAGUACGGUCGCAAGACUGAAACUCAAAGGAAUUGACGGGGGCCCGCACAAGCGGUGGAGCAUGUGGUUUAAUUCGAAGCAACGCGAAGAACCUUACCAGGUCUUGACAUCCUCUGACAAUCCUAGAGAUAGGACGUCCCCUUCGGGGGCAGAGUGACAGGUGGUGCAUGGUUGUCGUCAGCUCGUGUCGUGAGAUGUUGGGUUAAGUCCCGCAACGAGCGCAACCCUUGAUCUUAGUUGCCAGCAUUCAGUUGGGCACUCUAAGGUGACUGCCGGUGACAAACCGGAGGAAGGUGGGGAUGACGUCAAAUCAUCAUGCCCCUUAUGACCUGGGCUACACACGUGCUACCAUGGACAGAACAAAGGGCAGCGAAACCGCGAGGUUAAGCCAAUCCCACAAAUCUGU